RNAcentral lists this transfer RNA (69 nucleotides) under Bos taurus (domestic cattle). It matches the Rfam family "tRNA". Rfam says of the family: Transfer RNA (tRNA) molecules are approximately 80 nucleotides in length. Their secondary structure includes four short double-helical elements and three loops (D, anti-codon, and T loops). RNAcentral also lists the same sequence under 1 other name. Lineage: Eukaryota; Metazoa; Chordata; Mammalia; Artiodactyla; Bovidae. The record is from Rfam by way of RNAcentral.
CCUGACGGCUCAGAUGGUAAAGCAUCUGCCUGCAAUGCGGGAGACCAGGGUUCGAUCCCUGAGUCAGGA